Molecule: ribosomal RNA, 490 nt
Filed under: uncultured bacterium
Lineage: Bacteria
Description: partial 16S ribosomal RNA
Rfam family: Bacterial small subunit ribosomal RNA
Source: RNAcentral
GAUGAACGCUAGCUACAGGCUUAACACAUGCAAGUCGCAGGGUAACAUGAGGAAAGCUUGCUUUCCUUGAUGACGACUGGCGCACGGGUGAGUAACGCGUAUCCAACCUUCCCAUAACUACGGGAUAACCCGUUGAAAGACGGCCUAAUACCGUAUGAUAUCGUUUGCUGACAUCAAAUAACGAUUAAAGGUUUAGCGGUUAUGGAUGGGGAUGCGUCUGAUUAGCUUGUUGGCGGGGUAACGGCCCACCAAGGCGACGAUCAGUAGGGGUUCUGAGAGGAAGGUCCCCCACAUUGGAACUGAGACACGGUCCAAACUCAUACGGGAGGCAGCAGUGAGGAAUAUUGGUCAAUGGGCGAGAGCCUGAACCAGCCAAGUAGCGUGCAGGACGACGGCCCUAUGGGUUGUAAACUGCUUUUAUGUGGGGAUAAAGUGCGUGACGUGUCAUGCAUUGCAGGUACCACAUGAAUAAGGACCGGCUAAUUACGUG